RNAcentral lists this long non-coding RNA (380 nucleotides) under Rattus norvegicus (Norway rat). RNAcentral's name for it is "long non-coding RNA NONRATT017015". Lineage: Eukaryota; Metazoa; Chordata; Mammalia; Rodentia; Muridae. The record is from RNAcentral.
AGCUCAGAAAGGACCUUGGGGACCUUCAACGGCUGAAGGCUCAGGAAGAGAAGAUGCUCCAGGCUCUGCAGGUUGAUUGGGGGAGCCACAGGCCAAGAACUGAGCAGCAGAACCAAGACCAAACCGAGCUACAGCAGAAGGCCCUCCCUCGGCAUUGGCUGGACCAACGAGAGGACCCGCCAGAGGAGGUGGCCAAGGUCUUUAACUUCUCUGAGGCAGUAACACAGCUCAGCAUCCUGGUUUCCAGUCUGGAAAGGAUGGCCAAGGAACUGGACGCCAGCACCCUGAAGGAUGCCAGCGACUUACUGGACAGGAGUUCGCAACAGAAACUAGAAGGACUUCUCUCUCAUGUUCCUCCAGCCAACUCUAAGCUCAGUUAG